This 492-nucleotide ribosomal RNA is filed under the name uncultured bacterium. Its description in RNAcentral is "partial 16S ribosomal RNA". It matches the Rfam family "Bacterial small subunit ribosomal RNA", at positions 29 to 507 of the family's 1533-position model. The record is from RNAcentral.
AGUGAACGCUGGCGGUAGGCCUAACACAUGCAAGUCGAACGGCAGCACAGUAAGAGCUUUCUCUUACGGGUGGCGAGUGGCGGAGGGGCGAGGAAUACAGCGGAAUCUACUUUUUCGUGGGGGAUAACGGAGGGAAACUUACGCUACUACCGCAUAUGCCCUACGGGUGGAAGCAGGGGAUCUUCGGACCUUGCGCGAUUGAAUGAGUCGAUGUCGGAUUAGCUAGUUGGCGGGGUAAAGGCACACCAAGGCGACGAUCCGAAGCUGGUCUGAGAGGAUGGUUAGGUACACGGUAAGUGAGACACGGUCCACACUCCUGCGGGAGGCCGCAGUGGAGAAUAUUGGGCGAUGGAGGAGAGCCUGAUACAGCCAUACCGCGUGAGUGAAGAAGGCGUUCGGGUUGUAGAGCCCUUUUGUUGGUAAAGAAGAGCAGCAGGUUAAUACCCCGCUGUUCUGACGGUACCCAAAGAAUAAGCACCGGCUAACUUCGUG